Molecule: ribosomal RNA, 491 nt
Filed under: uncultured bacterium
Lineage: Bacteria
Description: partial 16S ribosomal RNA
Rfam family: Bacterial small subunit ribosomal RNA
Source: RNAcentral
AUUGAACGCUGGCGGCAUGCUUUACACAUGCAAGUCGAACGGUAACAGGCCUUCGGGUGCUGACGAGUGGCGAACGGGUGAGUAAUACAUCGGAACGUACCCAGAGGUGGGGGAUAACGCAGCGAAAGCUGUGCUAAUACCGCAUGUGAUCUGAGGAUGAAAGCGGGGGACCGAGCAGCAAUGUUUGGCCUCGCGCCUUUGGAGCGGCCGAUGUCGGAUUAGCUAGUUGGUGGGGUAAAGGCCUACCAAGGCGACGAUCCGUAGCUGGUCUGAGAGGACGACCAGCCACACUGGGACUGAGACACGGCCCAGACUCCUACGGGAGGCAGCAGUGGGGAAUUUUGGACAAUGGGCGCAAACCUGAUCCAGCAAUGCCGCGUGCGGGAAGAAGGCCUUCGGGUUGUAAACCGCUUUUGGCAGGAACGAAACGGUGUCCGCUAAUACCGGGCGCUAAUGACGGUACCUGCAGAAUAAGCACCGGCUAACUACGU